Molecule: transfer RNA, 76 nt
Filed under: Candidatus Chisholmbacteria bacterium RIFCSPHIGHO2_01_FULL_48_12
Lineage: Bacteria; Candidatus Chisholmiibacteriota
Description: tRNA-Pro
Rfam family: tRNA
About the family: Transfer RNA (tRNA) molecules are approximately 80 nucleotides in length. Their secondary structure includes four short double-helical elements and three loops (D, anti-codon, and T loops). Further hydrogen bonds mediate the characteristic L-shaped molecular structure. tRNAs have two regions of fundamental functional importance: the anti-codon, which is responsible for specific mRNA codon recognition, and the 3' end, to which the tRNAs corresponding amino acid is attached (by aminoacyl-tRNA synthetases). tRNAs cope with the degeneracy of the genetic code in two manners: having more than one tRNA (with a specific anti-codon) for a particular amino acid; and 'wobble' base-pairing, i.e. permitting non-standard base-pairing at the 3rd anti-codon position.
Source: RNAcentral
CGGGGACUAGCUCAGUUGGUAGAGCGCACGGUUUGGGACCGUGAGGUCGGCAGUUCGAGACUGCCGUCCCCGACCA